AAGUGACCUGCAUCAAUGUGGGUCCCACAGUCAGGGAUACCCUUUCGUGUCGAGAAUCAUCUUCAAUAUAAUUUCGGCACAGCUUGGAGCCAGUUAUCUGGAAGCAAAAUGGCAAGGUUGCAACCAAUCUCUGUUUGCAUACUCAUAAUGCUUUCAUCUUACUAUCCACGGCUAACAGUCUCUCAAUCAACGGUCAGAUAUCUACCUGGCUUUUCCGGCCCUCUCCCCUUCCGUCUAGAGACCGGGUACGUGGGUGUGGGGGAUUUGGAAGAAAACCAGCUGUUUUACUACUUCGUGGAGUCUGAGAAGAGCCCCAAAGAGGACCCUCUUGUCCUGUGGCUCAUUGGCGGCCCUGGCUGCUCAGGAUGGAGUGCCCUGGUCUACGAAAUUGGUCCAUUGUCUUUUGAGAAUGUUCCAUAUAAUGGAACUCCACCAACUUUGAAGCUAAGACAACAUUCAUGGACAAAGAUUUCCAACAUCAUCUUCGUUGAUUCACCUGUUUGGACUGGAUUUUCAUAUUCAAGUGGUUCAAAAGACUACUCGGGUGGGGACAUAAAAUCUUCCAAGGAAGUUCAUCAGUUUCUAAGGAAGUGGUUGAUAGCUCACCCGCAAUUCCUAUCAAAUCCUCUCUACGUUGGUGGUGAAUCAUAUUCUGGCAUAACUCUUCCUAUCGUCGUUCAUGAAAUAGCAAAUGGGAUUGACGCUGGACAGGAACCAAUCCUCAAUCUUAAGACAUUUUCACAAUGGCCUCCACCUUCUGUGGUCCAUACAUUGAACACGUGUGCCAUCUUGCGAGAUCCAAGCCACUCACCAGCAAGGCAAGAACAUGGCUAUUUGCUCGGAAACCCAAUAACGGAUAGAGUAAUAGAUGGUGGCUCAUUUGUACCGUACGCACGUGGGAUGGGCCUCAUAUCGGCCGAACUCUACAAGGCGAUGUUGUCUAUAAGGUGCGCUGACUCGCAUUCACCUUUGGAACCAAAAAUUGAUCUAAAACACAAGCAGGCCACACCAUUUGAAAGAGCUAGGAUGGGGCACCCAUUGUUAGUUGUAUGUGAGGCACGAAGGUUUUUAUUUGCAAUCCAAUCCAUUCAUAAGAUUCUUCUAGCCAAGAUAAAGGUACUAUUUAAAAAUAAUGCUACCUUGAAACUCAUGUGGACCACACUUGAGUCAACCAAGAAAAGUUGUAGAGGACAUUAUACAAAGCCAAGUAAUUUUAAAUGUACAAUGGAUCUUGAGGCAGUAAAUAAGUGCAUUGCAGGAAUUUAUACAGAUCAUAUUCUGGAGCCCAAGUGCCCCCUGGCAUCCCCAAAGCCAAAAGAUACAGUGGGACACGGAAGAUCUCUUAAAGAGAAUUCUAGAGAACUCCUCCUCCCAGAUCCCCUUCCUACUUUUGGGUGCAGGGAGUAUUGGCAGUUGCUCUCCUAUUAUUGGGCAGAUGAUGCAAGUGUUAGAAAGGCUCUCCACAUCCGGGAGGGAACGAUCGGUGAAUGGCUACGGUGCAACAGAAAGCUGGCUUAUGUUUAUGAUGUCAACAGCAGUGUAAAGUACCAUCUCAACCUGACCACGAGAGGUUACCGAGCUUUGAUAUAUAGCGGUGAUCACGACUUAGGGACAUCAUUUGUGGGGACAGAAACAUGGAUAAGAUCGCUGAAUUUCUCAAUAGUUGAUGAUUGGCAACCAUGGGCCGUUGAUGGCCAAGUUGCAGGGUUCCAAUGGGUCUUGUGCUGGGUUAGCCCAUGGUGGGCCUAAUAUACUAUUGGACAGUUACUUAAGUGUUUUAAUCUCACAGGUACACAAGGACCUAUUCCAACGACUUCACAUUUGCAACCGUAAAGGGAGCGGGCCACAUGGCUCCAGAAUACAAGCCCAAGGAAUGCUUUGCGAUGUUCCAACGUUGGAUUUCCCAUAAUCCCCUAUAAUUAUCUCAUUCCCUUUCGUUUUAGAGCUAAAAUGCCCAUCAUUUCCAUGCAUGGACUGCCGAAUUCUCCACUGAACAUGGUCAAGAAAGUAUGGGCACAUUGGCAUCUUCUAAAAGAUUUUAUAUGCUAGCUAUGGUGGGCCACUCAAUUAGUAUAGAGUGGAUAACAAUAUUCAACAAUUGACAACUUCAUUGCGUUGACUUGAAAAAUAUGUAUCUCCUUCAAUACAAUUCUAAUUGAGAUUAUUCAAAAGACAAAACAAA
RNA transcript from Magnolia sinica, 2182 nucleotides. It is a transcript of the gene named serine carboxypeptidase-like 17, with no coding region annotated. The record is from RefSeq and is a predicted model, not a curated record. The transcript is spliced from 16 exons. Lineage: Eukaryota; Viridiplantae; Streptophyta; Magnoliopsida; Magnoliales; Magnoliaceae.